AUAAAGUUUAAUUUUAGCUUAAAGAUUUAUUUAAUUUUUUAUUUACAUGUAAAUUUUUGUGGGGUUUAAAUAUUAAUUUAAAAAAUUAUUUUUUAAAAAAUUAUUCGCAGUAUGAAAUUUUAUUGAUUUAAGAAAUUAAGAAUUAUAAAUAAAUGUUAGUAUUAACAAAAUUUGUGCCAGCAGUUGCGGUUAUACAAAAAAUAUAAAUAAAUUGUAUUGAAUAAUAAUUAAAUAGAUUUAUUUUAAUUAAAAUAAAAUUUAUAAGGUGAAAUUUAAAAUUUUAAAUAAUUAUAAAAAAAAGAUAUUGAAUUUAUGAAAUUUAAUUAAUAGACUAGGAUUAGAUACCCUAUUAUUAUAAAUGUAAAUUUAUUCAAAGUAGUAUUAGUUAUGAUCUUGAAAUUUAAAAAUUUUGGCGGUAUUUUAGUCUAUUCAGAGGAACCUGUUCUAUAAUUGAUAGUCCACGAAAAAUUAAACUUUAUUUAUAUAAGCUUAUAUAUCGUCGUUAUUAAAUAUUUUAUUAGAAUUAUAAUAUUUAAGAUUUUUAAUUAAAAAAUAUAUCAGAUCAAGGUGUAGUUUAUAAUAAAGUAGAAAUGGGUUACAAUAAAUUUAUUUUUAUGAAUUUGUGUAUGAAAAUAUAUAAUGAAGGUGGAUUUGAUAGUAAUAAAAUUUAUAUUAAAUUUAUGAUUAAAGCUCUAAAAUGUGUACAUAUCGCCCGUCACUCUUAUUAUAAAAUAAGAUAAGUCGUAACAAAGUAGAUGUACUGGAAAGUGUAUCUAGAAAGA
Molecule: non-coding RNA, 782 nt
Filed under: Sanfilippodytes vilis
Lineage: Eukaryota; Metazoa; Arthropoda; Insecta; Coleoptera; Dytiscidae
Source: RNAcentral